AGCAGCCGCGGUAAUUCCAGCUCCAAUAGCGUAUAUUAAAGUUGUUGCAGUUAAAAAGCUCGUAGUUGAAUUUCGGGAUUGACACAUCGGUCGUGCCUUAAGGGGUAUGAACUGGUGUAGUCAAUUUCUCACCUUCUGGAGAACCGCGAUGCCCUUAAUUGGGUGUCGCGGGGAACCAGGACCUUUACUUUGAAAAAAUUAGAGUGUUUAAAGCAGGCAUUUUGCUUGAAUACAUUAGCAUGGAAUAAUAAAAUAGGACGGCAUGAUUCUAUUUUGUUGGUUUCUAGGAUCACCGUAAUGAUUAAUAGGGAUAGUUGGGAGCAUUAGUAUUCAAUUGUCAGAGGUGAAAUUCUUGGAUUUAUUGAAGACUAACUACUGCGAAAGCAUUUGCCAAGGAUGUUUUCAUUAAUCAAGAACGAAAGUUAGGGGAUCGAAGACGAUCAGAUACCGUCGUAGUCUUAACCAUAAACUAUGCCGACUAGGAAUCAGACGAUGUUAAUUUUUUAAUGACUCGUUUGGC
Molecule: unclassified non-coding RNA, 520 nt
Filed under: uncultured Entrophospora
Lineage: Eukaryota; Fungi; Glomeromycota; Glomeromycetes; Entrophosporales; Entrophosporaceae
Description: SSU rRNA
Rfam family: Eukaryotic small subunit ribosomal RNA
Source: RNAcentral